Molecule: ribosomal RNA, 462 nt
Filed under: uncultured marine eukaryote
Lineage: Eukaryota
Description: bacterial SSU rRNA
Rfam family: Eukaryotic small subunit ribosomal RNA
Source: RNAcentral
AACCUGGUUGAUCCUGCCAGUAGUCAUAUGCUUGUCUCAAAGACUAAGCCAUGCACGUCUAAGUACAAACUAAAUGAUGGUGAAACUGCAAAUGGCUCAUUACAACGGUUAUGAUGUACCCGGGAGUUCCGAUGGAUAUUUCCAGUAACACUAGAACUAAUACAUGCUCCUGCGUUUAUUAGUUUCGCACAGUCCGUCGCUGAGUCAUGGUAAACAGUUGAUCGACUCGACGUCCCGGAACAGUUUCCGCCCCAUCAGCUUCGAUGGUUGGGUAUUGGCCUACCAUUGCAACAACGGGUAACGAGGAAUUAGGGUUUGAUUUCGGAGAGGGAGCCUGAGAAACGGCUACCACAUCUACGGAUGGCAGCAGGCGCGCAAAUUACCCAAUGCAGACACUGUGAGGUAGUGACGAGAAAUAAUUAAGCGGGACUUCUGUUUCCGCUAUUAUAAUGAGGAAUAACC